UACGGAAGGUCCGGGCGUUAUCCGGAUUUAUUGGGUUUAAAGGGAGCGUAGGCCGUGGAUUAAGCGUGUUGUGAAAUGCAGGUGCUCAACGUCUGCACUGCAGCGCGAACUGGUUCACUUGAGUGUGCGCAACGCAGGCGGAAUUCGUCGUGUAGCGGUGAAAUGCUUAGAUAUGACGAAGAACUCCGAUUGCGAAGGCAGCUUGCGGGAGCACAACUGACGCUGAAGCUCGAAAGUGCGGGUAUCGAACAGG
This 253-nucleotide ribosomal RNA is filed under the name uncultured bacterium. RNAcentral describes it as "partial 16S ribosomal RNA". It matches the Rfam family "Bacterial small subunit ribosomal RNA", at positions 524 to 776 of the family's 1533-position model. The record is from RNAcentral.